This 443-nucleotide ribosomal RNA is filed under the name Salmonella enterica subsp. enterica. RNAcentral describes it as "bacterial SSU rRNA". It matches the Rfam family "Bacterial small subunit ribosomal RNA", at positions 338 to 795 of the family's 1533-position model. Lineage: Bacteria; Pseudomonadati; Pseudomonadota; Gammaproteobacteria; Enterobacterales; Enterobacteriaceae. The record is from RNAcentral.
CCUACGGGGGGCAGCAGCAGGGAAUAUUGCGCAAUGGGCGAAAGCCUGACGCAGCGACGCCGCGUGAGGGAUGAAGGCCUUCGGGUCGUAAACCUCUUUUUUCAGGGACGAAAAAAAUGACGGUACCUGAGGAGGAAGCCCCGGCUAACUACGUGCCAGCAGCCGCGGUAAUACGUAGGUGGCAAGCGUUGUCCGGAUUUAUUGGGCGUAAAGGGCGUGUAGGCGGCCCGGUAAGUCAGGUGUGAAAACCCUCGGCUCAACCGAGGGCAUGCACCUGAAACUAUCGGGCUUGAGGGCAGGAGAGGAGAGUGGAAUUCCCGGUGUAGUGGUGAAAUGCGUAGAUAUCGGGAGGAACACCAGUGGCGAAGGCGGCCUUCUGGGCUGUUACUGACGCUGAGGCGCGAAAGCGUGGGGAGCAAACAGGAUUAGAUACCCUUGUAGUC